RNAcentral lists this ribosomal RNA (460 nucleotides) under Serratia symbiotica. Its description in RNAcentral is "bacterial SSU rRNA". It matches the Rfam family "Bacterial small subunit ribosomal RNA", at positions 19 to 479 of the family's 1533-position model. Lineage: Bacteria; Pseudomonadati; Pseudomonadota; Gammaproteobacteria; Enterobacterales; Yersiniaceae. The record is from RNAcentral.
AUGGCUCAGAUUGAACGCUGGCGGCAGGCCUAACACAUGCAAGUCGAGCGGUAGCACAAGAGAGCUUGCUCUCUGGGUGACGAGCGGCGGACGGGUGAGUAAUGUCUGGGAAACUGCCUGAUGGCGGGGGAUAACUAGUGGAAACGGUAGCUAAUACCGCAUAACGUCGCAAGACCAAAGUGGGGGACCUUCGGGCCUCACGCCAUCAGAUGUGCCCAGGUGGGAUUAGCUGGUAGGUGGGGUAACGGCUCACCUAGGCGACGAUCCCUAGCUGGUCUGAGAGGAUGACCAGCCACACUGGAACUGAGACACGGUCCAGACUCCUACGGGAGGCAGCAGUGGGGAAUAUUGCACAAUGGGCGCAAGCCUGAUGCAGCCAUGCCGCGUGUGUGAAGAAGGCCUUCGGGUUGUAAAGCACUUUCAGCGAGGAGGAAGGGUAAUGUGUUAAUAAGACAUUGCA